This 41-nucleotide non-coding RNA is filed under the name Schistosoma margrebowiei. The record is from RNAcentral. Lineage: Eukaryota; Metazoa; Platyhelminthes; Trematoda; Strigeidida; Schistosomatidae.
AUCUAACGAGUCCCAAACGGGACGAAACGCGCGUCUUAGAU